GACGAACGCUGGCGGCGUGCCUAAUACAUGCAAGUAGAACGCUGAAGAGAGGAGCUUGCUCUUCUUGGAUGAGUUGCGAACGGGUGAGUAACGCGUAGGUAACCUGCCUUGUAGCGGGGGAUAACUAUUGGAAACGAUAGCUAAUACCGCAUAACAAUGGAUGACACAUGUCAUUUAUUUGAAAGGGGCAAUUGCUCCACUACAAGAUGGACCUGCGUUGUAUUAGCUAGUAGGUGAGGUAAUGGCUCACCUAGGCGACGAUACAUAGCCGACCUGAGAGGGUGAUCGGCCACACUGGGACUGAGACACGGCCCAGACUCCUACGGGAGGCAGCAGUAGGGAAUCUUCGGCAAUGGGGGCAACCCUGACCGAGCAACGCCGCGUGAGGGAAGAAGGUUUUCGGAUCGUAAAGCUCGGUUGUAAGUCAAGAACGGGUGUGAGAGUGGAAAGUUCACACUGUGACGGUAGCUUACCAGAAAGGGACGGCUAACUACGUG
RNAcentral lists this ribosomal RNA (497 nucleotides) under uncultured bacterium. RNAcentral's name for it is "partial 16S ribosomal RNA". It matches the Rfam family "Bacterial small subunit ribosomal RNA", at positions 28 to 507 of the family's 1533-position model. The record is from RNAcentral.